Long non-coding RNA from Vicugna pacos (alpaca), 1080 nucleotides. RefSeq lists it as uncharacterized. Lineage: Eukaryota; Metazoa; Chordata; Mammalia; Artiodactyla; Camelidae. The record is from RefSeq and is a predicted model, not a curated record.
GGCCCCACUGGGAGGGGCUCCCCGGGGCAGGCCCUCCCCCCCUCUCCUCCCCUUCAGCUCUGGGAGCUAGCGCACACUUCCCAGGAGAUGGGUGUGAGUGGGUAUCUCUGGGCCACUGGGUGGCCGGGGGGUGACAACUGCUUCCAGAGGGGGCGGGCUCUGCCCAGGAAGGGACGACCAGAGAUGCGUGACGUCGGUCUCCCUUUUCACUCCCAGUGCCUGCCGUUACAGAGAAACACCAAAACGCAAGCAAACACCCAGAGCAAUAACACGGGCUGGCCACGCAGAUCUUUUAUGGAGGCCUCUGUAGAGAGAUGAUUAACCCUACCUGCUGGCAGCAUCAGAAACAACCGGAAGGCCAGGGGCUGAAGUAGGUCAGAGGGAAGGAAACCCUCAAACCAGCUUUCUUCCUGGCAAUGCAGGGCAGGGGUUAAGGGCGGGGGCUCCUAAGUCGUCGCCUUUGCGUGCUGGUCCUCGGUCCGCCACCCAUCGGCUGUGAACCUGGGCGUGUCGUCUGACUGCUGACCUGCGUGGAAUUUAAGCUCGAUGAAAGCAAGGACUUCUGUCUGUGCUGUUUGCCCCUGCAUUCUGGUGCCUAAAACAACGCCUGACACAGGGAUUUCUCUGGGGACUGUGUGGCAGAUAGCAAAGGUGGACAAGGAUGGAAGCUCGGAGACUCCUUGUGAAGACCUGAUGACAACUCUGGUGAGAGGCCACGGUACUUGGGUGGCAGAGGUGGGAAGACGUGGUCCGACUCAGAACCUCUUUUGAGGGAAGAGCCAACAAUACUUGCUGACAGACUGGAAAGGCCGUGUGAAAAUGAGAGAGGAGUUGGACCGGAGCAAACGGAAAGAUUGAGCUUUCAUGAGUCAAGAGGAACGAAGGCGAGAGAACUGGUUUGGGGGUGUUCCAGGAGGGAAAGGGUGGAUGAAGAUGGAAAGUGUCUGGAGAGAGCGUGAUGACCACCUUCAUUCAACAAAAUUUAUUAAAUCUCGGGGGGAGGGUGUAGCUCAAGUGGUAGAGUGCGUGCUUAGCGUGCAGGAGGUCCUGGGCUCAACCCGCAGUACCUCCUCUAAAAAU